This is a non-coding RNA of Zonotrichia albicollis (white-throated sparrow), 1604 nucleotides long. The record is from RefSeq and is a predicted model, not a curated record. NCBI's taxonomy places the organism in Eukaryota, Metazoa, Chordata, Aves, Passeriformes, Passerellidae.
UUGUGCUCUGUGGCACCUUCUGACAAGUGACCUGUGAAUGAAGAACAUAACAUGUGUGCAUGCACUAUCAGCAUCAUUAUUAGUGAGGUGAUGCUGGGGGUCUUGACACUCUGAGUGUGCAAAGUCACAGGAGGGACAUCUUGUAAGAGAUAACAAUAUUUUUAAAGAGAAUGCCUACGUUUUCUCUGGAAAGCUAUCUAUUAGUCUAAAGAAUCAUCUCUUGUAUUUCUUGAAUUUUUCUUCUUCUCUGUUCUACUUUAACAAAAUAAUGUGCAGAGACAAAAGAGAAAAUCUGGACAAAAGAGGACCUUUACUUCCUUCCAGAUCUCCUUGCCAGAUUCAGGCUAUUUUGACUGAAGAGGAUUAGGUAUGGAAGAGGUUGGGGAAAGUCCAAAGUCAACAUUGAGAUGUUUUUUUUCUCAGUUAAGGUGGGACAAAAGAGAUCAUCUGAUUGAGAGUUCUAUGAGUUGGCUAAACCUACACAUCAUGGAUAUAAGCAAGGGAGAUCUGGCCCAAUUUUAAAUCUCAGCUGCUAAAUAGCUCCUCAAAACUUGGAUUUAUUUCAUGGUUUUAUCAUCAACCUCUGGAUUUCAUGCCCAGUAAAGAAAUGCUUUGGAAAGUUCAAGAAUGGGAAAGCUUUCUUGCAGAUUCUGUGCAACUGCCCUGCCCUUUGGAGAGCUCUUGGAAAAAUUCCUGCUGAAUGUCAUUGCACACAGAAAGAGCCUCCCUGAGCCAGGCUUCAGGACCAUGUUUUGGGGUUUGAACAGAAUAUGGGAGCAAGAAAAACGAUCCUUGUGCAGCAGUGGUUACAGGAGCAGAACUAACACCAACCAUUGUGUGGGAGCAGUAAAACAGAGGGUGGGUUCUUCAUUUUUGCAUCAAGCUCUCACAGAGAUCUGUAGUCACAUCUCACACUCUCAGGCAUAGGGGCACAGCUACAGAAAAUGUUUCUCCUGUAAUCUGACUGAUUAGGCCAAAGGGGUGACCCAUAGCAAGAGGAACAAGUGAAAUAAAGUGUCUGGUCAUCAGCUGGUGUGCAAAUCUGAGGCUUUCCAACUUGAGGUCUCUUGUUGCCAUUCAAAACUUAGGCUUAAUUUCAAGUGCGAUCGCAUAGUUCUAAAAAAUAACAAUAUCAAUAUCUAAGAAAAGAGAUGGCAAAAAUAUUCCUAAGACACUGUCAAGGACUUGAGAUGUAUUCCUAGUGCAGUGAGGGGUUUCAGUUUACCCUCCAGCUCACCUUAGCUGCCUCUGGAGCAGGUGCCAGGGAAGCUGUCACAGAGGGAAAUUCAGCCCAGCUCCUCUGGGCUGCUGAGCACACUCAAAUCCAUCCUGUCACACGAGCACUGAGCUGUAGCCAGCCUGGGCUAAGAUGAUUUGAUGCUCUGAAUGCAGCCAUCACGCCUCUCAUGGCAGUGUGGAUAUUUUCCUCACUAGGAGCCAUGCUAGCAUGCUGAAGGAUUUGGUGCACCAUUCAUAGAAACUCUGGAUUCAGCAGACAACAACGUAAACAGUAUUGUAUUUGCAGAAGAAAACUUCAAUUCAGACUAUUAUUGUUUUCCUAAAGAAUUGCAGUUACAUGGAACUCCAGACUUAAACUGACACAA